Molecule: ribosomal RNA, 392 nt
Filed under: uncultured bacterium
Lineage: Bacteria
Description: partial 16S ribosomal RNA
Rfam family: Bacterial small subunit ribosomal RNA
Source: RNAcentral
AUACGGAGGAUCCGAGCGUUAUCCGGAUUUAUUGGGUUUAAAGGGUGCGCAGGCGGCCAUUUAAGUCAGCGGUUAAAUCGUGGGGCUCAACCCCAUUCUGCCGUUGAUACUGGGUGGCUUGAUUGCGGUCGAGGUUGGCGGAAUUCGUUGUGUAGCGGUGAAAUGCGUAGAUAUGACGAAGAACACCGAUUGCGUAGGCAGCUGACCAGACCGCAAAUGACGCUCAUGCACGAAAGUGCGGGGAUCGAACAGGAUUAGAUACCCUGGUAGUCCGCACAGUAAACGAUGAAUACUUGUUUUCGGCGAUAUAAUGUCGGAGGCAAAGCGAAAGCGAUAAGUAUUCCACCUGGGGAGUACGCCGGCAACGGUGAAACUCAAAGGAAUUGACGGGG